UUAGAGUUUGAUCCUGGCUCAGGAUGAACGCUAGCGGCAGGCUUAACACAUGCAAGUCGAGGGGCAACGAGAUCAGUGCUUGCACUGAUUGUCGGCGACCGGCGCACGGGUGCGUAACGCGUAUGCAACCUACCCAUUACAGGGGGAUAACACUGAGAAAUCGGUACUAAUACCCCAUAACAUCCAGGGAGGCAUCUUCUUGGGUUGAAAACUCCGGUGGUAAUGGAUGGGCAUGCGUUGUAUUAGUUAGUUGGUGGGGUAACGGCUCACCAAGACAACGAUACAUAGGGGGACUGAGAGGUUAACCCCCCACAUUGGUACUGAGACACGGACCAAACUCCUACGGGAGGCAGCAGUGAGGAAUAUUGGUCAAUGGACGCAAGUCUGAACCAGCCAUGCCGCGUGCAGGAAGACGGCUCUAUGAGUUGUAAACUGCUUUUGUACGAGGGUAAACGCAGAUACGCGUAUCUGUCUGAAAGUAUCGUACGAAUAAGGAUCGGCUAACUCCGUGCCAGCAGCCGCGGUAAUACGGAGGAUUCAAGCGUUAUCCGGAUUUAUUGGGUUUAAAGGGUGCGUAGGCGGUCGGAUAAGUUAGAGGUGAAAUCCCGGGGCUCAACUUCGGAAUUGCCUCUGAUACUGUUCGGCUAGAGAGUAGUUGCGGUAGGCGGAAUGUAUGGUGUAGCGGUGAAAUGCUUAGAGAUCAUACAGAACACCGAUUGCGAAGGCAGCUUACCAAGCUACUUCUGACGUUGAGGCACGAAAGCGUGGGGAGCAAACAGGAUUAGAUACCCUGGUAGUCCACGCAGUAAACGAUGAUAACUCGUUGUCGGCGAUACAGUGUCGGUGACUAAGCGAAAGCGAUAAGUUAUCCACCUGGGGAGUACGUUCGCAAGAAUGAAACUCAAAGGAAUUGACGGGGGCCCGCACAAGCGGAGGAACAUGUGGUUUAAUUCGAUGAUACGCGAGGAACCUUACCCGGGCUUGAAAGUUAGUGACGGAUCUUGAAAGAGGUCUUCCCUUCGGGGCACGAAACUAGGUGCUGCAUGGUUGUCGUCAGCUCGUGCCGUGAGGUGUCGGGUUAAGUCCCAUAACGAGCGCAACCCCUACCGUUAGUUGCCAGCAGGUCAAGCUGGGCACUCUGACGGGACUGCCGGUGUAAGCCGAGAGGAAGGUGGGGAUGACGUCAAAUCAGCACGGCCCUUACGUCCGGGGCUACACACGUGUUACAAUGGCAGGUACAGAGGGCAGCUACCCAGCGAUGGGAUGCGAAUCUCGAAAGCCUGUCUCAGUUCGGAUUGGAGGCUGAAACCCGCCUCCAUGAAGUUGGAUUCGCUAGUAAUCGCGCAUCAGCCAUGGCGCGGUGAAUACGUUCCCGGGCCUUGCACUCACCGCCCGUCA
Molecule: ribosomal RNA, 1398 nt
Filed under: uncultured bacterium
Lineage: Bacteria
Description: 16S ribosomal RNA
Rfam family: Bacterial small subunit ribosomal RNA
Source: RNAcentral